Topomyia yanbarensis is the source of this 3167-nucleotide RNA transcript. It is a transcript of the gene named cytoplasmic phosphatidylinositol transfer protein 1, with no coding region annotated. Lineage: Eukaryota; Metazoa; Arthropoda; Insecta; Diptera; Culicidae. The transcript has 5 exons. The record is from RefSeq and is a predicted model, not a curated record.
UAUUAUUUUUCUCUAUUAUUUGUGGACGAUAAAGAGUCAAUGCUUGGCUUUUAUUUGGCAUAAUUAACUCAGUUUGUUUACAUUUGUUAGAUAUGGCGUUUUAAAUAAACGGUAUAGAGUCGUCGUCACUCUCCUUAUAUAAUAUGAAAGAAAUGUAAAAAGGUUUUCAUUUGCACUUUGAAACUUUUGACAUGUUGGUCUAGAUGUCCUAGGUCUAGAUUUGGCUUGAGUUAAUGAUUAUAAUAAAAACGCCUUUGAUAAAAGUAUGCUUACAAAGGAGUAUCGAAUUUGUAUGCCACUAACUGUGGAAGAGUACAAAAUCGGACAACUGUACAUGAUUGCACGGCAUAGCCUUGAGCAAUCAGAUACAGGUAAUGGCGUAGAAGUAAUUGAAAAUAAAGAGUGCCUGGACCCUGUACACGGUAAAGGACAGUUUACAGAAAAACGGAUCCAUCUCUCGAGUGUUCAUUUAUACCGAAGCUUCAUAUAACGAUACUUACUAAAUUUGAAAAUAAUGCUGGCACUUCUGAAAAUUGUCUCAACCUACCUCAAGAAAAACUAGAAGAACGAACGGUUGAUUUCGUAGACAUUGCGUUCGACGAGUUAAAUACAAAGCAUUAUAAGAAAGAGGAAGAUCCAAAAUUCUUUAAGUCAACCCUUACCGGGCGUGGUCCGUUGGUAGAAGGAUGGAGACAAACUGAUGAGCCGAUAAUGUGCUCGUACAAACUGGUGCAGGUAUCGUUUGAAGUUUGGGGACUGCAGACAAAAGUGGAAGGCUUUAUACAUAAUUCCGGGCUCGUCCCACUGUGAAUUGGCCUCUCGGCCAAAUCAUCUAAUGUCAUCCCGGAGCCGAUGGCAGCGUUCGUGUCGUCACGCUUCGAACCGCGACAGGCAAGGAGCUUGUACGUCCUGUGGCCAGAAUCGCUCUACUACCGACACCACCAACUCAACAGGCCGAGUGAAAUAUGUCAUCCAGGUAGAGCAACCCGGACGGGGAGAAAAUUCUCGAUGCGCCCCUGCGCAUUGCACAGGUAAUUGCAAUUUCAAUCCCCUAACUCCAAUCGUUCGAUCUACCUGGUCUUUUUUUCUCGGUCGAUGGCGAUGAACUCCAAGGGCAAUGGUUACCUGUCACUGGACUUGUACUAGAGUAAGGUGGGGUAAAAGUACGCGUGGGGCAAAAGUGCGCAUAAGACUUUAAGAAGCACACAAGCGCUAGAACCUGGCAACUCUGUAUGGAUUUAGUUUAUCAUUAAGUCAACUAAUCGCACAUAUAAGCAUGAAAGGUUUGAAUAUAGUGGCUUGAAAUUAAGGGGGAAGGACCAUUUUUCGCUGAUUUGAUAUUAUUUUUUGAAUUUUGGGAAUCAUAAAUUAGCUGUUUGAAUAAAUCAGGAUCUAUAAAACUACAGUACCCUAAAAAUCUUCAACACAUGGUUCGUUGCGAGAUAUAUUUGAUUUAAUGAAAAAAAUUCAGUAAUUUUCGUAACAAUUGAAUAAGUUAAAAAACUGACAGUGGGGUAAAAGUGCGCAUAGCAUAUCCGCCCCAAAUCAAAAGACGCGAGUGAAGCUUUUUAUAUAAAAAUUGAACUAAUUCUUCCAUGAUUUAAAGAAGGGAUAAGCAUCUUCAAUAACUGCGAGCUCACCGGUCAAAUUACGACUGAUAUGAGCGGUUUAGGAGCAAAAGUAUCAGCAUAACUGGUUGCAAGGAAAAAUGUAGAGUGCCGAAAGCUCAGAGUAAUUAAAAAGAACCAAAAAACUAUGAAUAUGUAAAUAAAGAUGUAUUUCCAAUAUAAAUAGCAUAUUCGCAAGAAUUCUUGUAGUGAUCUACCCAACUAUGACAAAUAAUGAUGUUACCAGGGGUGACAGUUUGAUCAUGAACCACAUUGUCUAAAAGAUGAAACAUCCAAGUUUUUUCAACAUAAUGGAAAACUGAACAACAUCAACCGAGGCAGAGGGAGGGGUACUUUUUAGUUAUGAAGGAAGAGUAAGAGGGGAUGAAUAUCCUAAAAUAGAUUAGUUUAAUUUAUGGGCGGAAGUAAAUCGGCUAUUUAAGCUGUGCGCACUUUUGCCGCGUGCUAUGCGCACUCUUGCCCCGACCAUGGGGCAAAAGUACGCAUUUGAGUAUUCAUAAGAAAAUAACUAUUUCUCGGAUUACAAGCAAAACCAAGAGAUAUCUAGUAUUACGUUUGGAAGAUGUGUGAUGAGAGCAAUAAUUUGUAAUCAUGCCGAUUUUCUAGUGCUUUUCUACCGAUAGUUAUUUUACGAAAACUGUUAGGUGCGCACUUUUGCCCCACCUUACUCUAGUCAUUCAACAUGACCAGUUCAGCACAAAUCAUCCGCAAUCUCGAGGUUCACAUCCCAGCGUACCAUCCGCUGGUUAAAACCGAGUUCACCGAUUUUCGACAACUGGAACACAAUCACUAGCAGACUUUUUUGAAUUAUUUUUUUGAAACACCGUCAUGUUUCAAGGUGGCCGGAAUGUUCGGCAUGUAAACUAAAUUUGUAUAUAUCUAAUACUAGACUUAAGAAUUGAACUACACUUGAAUUACCUAAAUUGUAAAUAUUGAAUCAACUUCUAGUGCACCUCGAAAUAACAACCUUGCAACUAGAAUUUCAAAAAUUAUGCCAGCUACUCAGUCUGUGCAAAAUGAGACGAACGCUACUAUGCACGCUCUCCAGUGUAACAGGUAGUAGAUGGAGAGAGAAGAGAGUGAAAACAGCGCGAUCACAGCUGAUCCCGGCUGGUUAUAAAAUGUAUAUAGUUUAGUUGAAAAUAAAUCUCUUGGUGGAAGGUCGAUUCUGUGUUCUGUGUCUUGUGCAGAAAAGAAAGCCGUCGGUAGGCAAUAAAAUUUCAAAGUCCCUAGCGGGUUGGUGGACUUAGUGUUUUUUGUUCGUAUUUUGAUACAGUGAGCCAUAGUGCGAUUUUGGCUAAGUCCCCAAUCGAAGGGCAGACUUUAGUUUGCAGUGCGCGUUGCAAACAUUAAGCAUAAGUUCUCUAGCGAAAAGUGAACAGUUCGGUGCGGUCAAUUUCGCGAUUUGUGCAGUCGGUGAUCGCGUUGGAACGGUGUGCGCGAUCAAUGCAAUAAACCGGCCAAAUUGAAGACAAAAACUUGGUUUAAUUGGUCGUGUUUACUAUUGUUUUCCGUACACGCUUGUGUGUUGCUAGUCCA